Long non-coding RNA from Orbicella faveolata, 908 nucleotides. Lineage: Eukaryota; Metazoa; Cnidaria; Anthozoa; Scleractinia; Merulinidae. The record is from RefSeq and is a predicted model, not a curated record.
UCUCAUCCACUUUUUUUAUCUCAUCCACAUAAUAAUGGCAUAAUGGCAUAAUAAUGGCAUAAUCCAUAAUGGCAAUGAGUGAAUUCACCAGUGCUGCCCCUUCAAUGUUGGGAGUCAGUGGGUGUGGGGGCUAAUUCAUAAUUUUUGGGCUUUCAGAGUGGGCAGUUAUUCAAAUAAAUACAGUAAUGGCCUGUCGACUUCUGUCUUAGACAUUCAGACCUGACAUCUGUAAUCUGCAGUGCUUUCAAGCUGGAUAUAGCUGUCUUUACUAUUGAUUGCUCAAAUGGUCAUUGUUUGGAUUAUGUAUACAGAAAAAUCUUUACAGAAGUAUAUUAUAUAUCAGUGCCAGGUUUUCUCUAAGGCACUGAAUUGAUAUAUGUUAUGAUUCUGAAGAAGCUAUAUAUGUGGGAGCAAAAUAUUAUUUAUCCUAUAUUUUUGUUCAAAAGGCAGAGAUCAGGUAGCUGUGGGUGUAGCUCCCAUUGGCUUUGCAAACAAGAGUUCAGAGAGUGCACUGUCCAUCUACCCACUUGCUAUAGCAAACUGUAAAGAGAAAAGAGACAAUUUAAAGCAGCUCCUGAGAAAUCUAAAUUCCCAGAAGAACUGCAUUAAAAAACAUGGCAUUGUAGUGGAUGGCAGAAAGUACAAAAUCAAGUUCACAGUAACUCUGGACUACAAAGCCCUGUUGCUUCUUCUGAAUAAGAAAAAUGAUGAGGACUUCACUCUUGGUGGAAAAGGCUACAAUGUUGAAUGCUGUGCCUAUUGCGAUGCUAUUAGGGCUUGUACAUCACAUGGAGCUGAUCCCGAUGAGGCAUGUUUAGAUUGCUUAAGAUCAAAAGCUAACAUUGGAAGGUAACUAAAAGCACAAUUAUUACAAGUUCAACUCACCCACAUAAAGGAUAGGCCCUGAA